Molecule: long non-coding RNA, 210 nt
Filed under: Elaeis guineensis (African oil palm)
Lineage: Eukaryota; Viridiplantae; Streptophyta; Magnoliopsida; Arecales; Arecaceae
Description: long non-coding RNA (EGUI_LNC012184)
Source: RNAcentral
AGAUAGAUUUACAUUGUCAACAAAAAAUAAUUUUAGUGAUAUCAUUAUAGAUGAUGUCAAAAUCAUGAUGAAUAAUUAAAGAAAUAGCAUUUAUAAAUAUUCAUAGCUUGUUAGUGUACUGCACACAACAAACAAACUUCUUAGAGUAGAUAAUGUAUUGAAAUAAUUCUCUCUUAUUGGAAUCGACUUUGUUAGACAUAGUUCGAUCUA